RNAcentral lists this ribosomal RNA (1427 nucleotides) under uncultured organism. Its description in RNAcentral is "16S ribosomal RNA". It matches the Rfam family "Bacterial small subunit ribosomal RNA". The record is from RNAcentral.
CUAGCGACAGGCUUAACACAUGCAAGUCGAGCCUUAGCACAGGUAGCAAUACCGGGUGGCGACCGGCGCACGGGUGAGUAACGCGUAUGCAACUUGCCUAUCAGAGGGGGAUAACCCGGCGAAAGUCGGACUAAUACCGCAUGAAGCAGGGGCCCCGCAUGGGGAUAUUUGCUAAAGAUUCAUCGCUGAUAGAUAGGCAUGCGUUCCAUUAGGCAGUUGGCGGGGUAACGGCCCACCAAACCGACGAUGGAUAGGGGUUCUGAGAGGAAGGUCCCCCACAUUGGUACUGAGACACGGACCAAACUCCUACGGGAGGCAGCAGUGAGGAAUAUUGGUCAAUGGCCGAGAGGCUGAACCAGCCAAGUUGCGUGAGGGAUGAAGGUUCUAUGGAUCGUAAACCUCUUUUAUAAGGGAAUAAAGUGCGGGACGUGUCCCGUUUUGUAUGUACCUUAUGAAUAAGGAUCGGCUAACUCCGUGCCAGCAGCCGCGGUAAUGCGGAGGAUCCGAGCGUUAUCCGGAUUUAUUGGGUUUAAAGGGUGCGUAGGCGGCCUUUUAAGUCAGCGGUGAAAGUCUGUGGCUCAACCAUAGAAUUGCCGUUGAAACUGGGGGGCUUGAGUAUGUUUGAGGCAGGCGGAAUGCGUGGUGUAGCGGUGAAAUGCAUAGAUAUCACGCAGAACCCCGAUUGCGAAGGCAGCCUGCCAAGCCAUUACUGACGCUGAUGCACGAAAGCGUGGGGAUCAAACAGGAUUAGAUACCCUGGUAGUCCACGCAGUAAACGAUGAUCACUAGCUGUUUGCGAUACACUGUAAGCGGCACAGCGAAAGCGUUAAGUGAUCCACCUGGGGAGUACGCCGGCAACGGUGAAACUCAAAGGAAUUGACGGGGGCCCGCACAAGCGGAGGAACAUGUGGUUUAAUUCGAUGAUACGCGAGGAACCUUACCCGGGUUUGAACGCAUUCGGACCGAGGUGGAAACACCUUUUCUAGCAAUAGCCGUUUGCGAGGUGCUGCAUGGUUGUCGUCAGCUCGUGCCGUGAGGUGUCGGCUUAAGUGCCAUAACGAGCGCAACCCUUGCCACUAGUUACUAACAGGUAAAGCUGAGGACUCUGGUGGGACUGCCAGCGUAAGCUGCGAGGAAGGCGGGGAUGACGUCAAAUCAGCACGGCCCUUACAUCCGGGGCGACACACGUGUUACAAUGGCGUGGACAAAGGGAAGCCACCUGGCGACAGGGAGCGAAUCCCCAAACCACGUCUCAGUUCGGAUCGGAGUCUGCAACCCGACUCCGUGAAGCUGGAUUCGCUAGUAAUCGCGCAUCAGCCAUGGCGCGGUGAAUACGUUCCCGGGCCUUGUACACACCGCCCGUCAAGCCAUGGGAGCCGGGGGUACCUGAAGUCCGUAACCGCGAGGAUCGGCCUAGGGUAAAACUA